RNAcentral lists this long non-coding RNA (354 nucleotides) under Lathyrus oleraceus (garden pea). RNAcentral describes it as "Pisum sativum (pea) long non-coding RNA (PSAT_LNC041003)". Lineage: Eukaryota; Viridiplantae; Streptophyta; Magnoliopsida; Fabales; Fabaceae. The record is from RNAcentral.
UUUCAUCAUUCACACAAUUCAAUCAAAUUUCAUGGGUUUAACAACAACAUUUUCAUAAUUCACACAAUUCAUUCAAAUUUCAUGGGUUUAACAAUAACAUUUUCAUCAUUCCCACAAUUCAAUCAAAUUUCAUGGGUUUAACAAUAAGAUUUUCAUCAUUCACAAAAUUUUUAUCAAAUUUCGUGGGUUUAAAAAUAAAAUCUUCAUCAUUCACACAAUUCAAACAAAUUUCAUGGGUUUAACAACAAAUUUUCAUCAUUCCCACAAAUCAAUCAAAUUCCAUGGGUUUAAUAGCAGCGUUUUCAUCAUUCACUCAAUUCAAUCAAAUUUUAUGGUUUUAAGAGCAACAUUUUC